AGUGGCGGACGGGUGAGUAACGCGUGGAUAACCUGCCUCACACUGGGGGAUAACAGUUGGAAACGGCUGCUAAUACCGCAUAAGCGCACAGUACCGCAUGGUACCGUGUGUAAAACUCCGGUGGUAUGAGAUGGACCCGCGUCUGAUUAGGUAGUUGGUGGGGUAACGGCCUACCAAGCCGACGAUCAGUAGCCGACCCGAGAGGGUGACCGGCCACAUUGGGACUGAGACAUGGCCCAA
RNAcentral lists this ribosomal RNA (240 nucleotides) under uncultured bacterium. RNAcentral describes it as "partial 16S ribosomal RNA". It matches the Rfam family "Bacterial small subunit ribosomal RNA", at positions 94 to 334 of the family's 1533-position model. The record is from RNAcentral.